Long non-coding RNA from Daphnia pulex (common water flea), 724 nucleotides. RefSeq lists it as uncharacterized. The transcript has 4 exons. The record is from RefSeq and is a predicted model, not a curated record. Lineage: Eukaryota; Metazoa; Arthropoda; Branchiopoda; Diplostraca; Daphniidae.
AUGCCGCAACAAGCUCCCAAGGAAGGAGCUGACAGAGUGACAGCUGAAAUGUGAAAUGUGGGAAAUCGAAAGAAUUCGAAAAGUGAAAUCAAUAUUCAGCAUAAGUUACCAUGUUUGAAACUGAAAAACUAACUUGACUUGGUAGUAUGUUAACUAAAUGUUUCAUGCAUAUUUACCAGUCCAUUUGUCAUCAUUUGCCACGUAAUGACGACCAUUGUUGAAGCUGGCCAGGAAUUCUAAUAAGCUGUCAUCAAUCCUGCAGCUGUAGUGUGCCUAUACUAAAAAUGGAAUAAAAAUUGUAAUAUCACAGCUAUCUUACUAAUUUUCUGUUCUUGUCUUUCAGAUAAAUGUUUUGUAAAUAGUGAAUCUCAAAUCCAAGAACUUUGAGUCGUUAUUUCACUCAAUUGACUUUCUUUUUUCCGAUUUUAAUAAUGGUGAUAAAUUGCAAGUACUUACCUGAGCAGCUGAGCUCUUCCUUUAGAACUGUGGUUCCUUUCAAUUGAUUCAUUUGAGUUUAAUCCCUCGCCUCUGUUCCAGACCUUAUCCACUAGUAGAAUAUGCCGAGAGAUGUUGAACUUAUUCUAGAUUAACCCUUCGCCCUUGUGCUACAAUUUGAAGAUAUUGACGGUAACAGAAGAGCUUGCUUUCUAUCAAUAUCAAUAAAUUAGGUAGAUGUAGAUAACUUACAAGUGCAUAUCUGGGCUCCUUUCUUUUCUGUGGCCCC